RNAcentral lists this ribosomal RNA (253 nucleotides) under uncultured bacterium. Its description in RNAcentral is "partial 16S ribosomal RNA". It matches the Rfam family "Bacterial small subunit ribosomal RNA", at positions 524 to 776 of the family's 1533-position model. The record is from RNAcentral.
UACGAAGGGGGCUAGCGUUGCUCGGAAUCACUGGGCGUAAAGUGCACGUAGGCGGAUUGUUAAGUCAGGGGUGAAAUCCUGGAGCUCAACUCCAGAACUGCCUUUGAUACUGGCGAUCUCGAGUCCGGGAGAGGUGAGUGGAACUGCGAGUGUAGAGGUGAAAUUCGUAGAUAUUCGCAAGAACACCAGUGGCGAAGGCGGCUCACUGGCCCGGUACUGACGCUGAGGUGCGAAAGCGUGGGGAGCAAACAGG